AAGCCAUCAAUUCUGACGGAGGAGCAUUUGUGCAGCCCUGCUCCAAAACCCAAGCCAGAGCCAACACUGCUGGAGCUGCCACCAAGACAGCUUGUGACACAUUUCAAACCAUCCACCUUGCCGAGACACUCAGGGCGUCAUCCUACAGUUCAGCCUGGCUUCAGCCCAGCCAGUCCCAGCCUCGAGUGCCUUGAACAGUUUCUCCUCUGCGAUGCCCUCUGCCA
Molecule: long non-coding RNA, 224 nt
Organism: Fukomys damarensis (Damara mole-rat)
Lineage: Eukaryota; Metazoa; Chordata; Mammalia; Rodentia; Bathyergidae
Exons: 3
Source: RefSeq, a predicted model, not a curated record